GAUGAACGCUGGCGGCGUGCCUAAUACAUGCAAGUCGAGCGAACGGACGAGAAGCUUGCUUCUCUGAUGUUAGCGGCGGACGGGUGAGUAACACGUGGAUAACCUACCUAUAAGACUGGGAUAACUUCGGGAAACCGGAGCUAAUACCGGAUAAUAUUUUGAACCGCAUGGUUCAAGAGUGAAAGACGGUCUUGCUGUCACUUAUAGAUGGAUCCGCGCUGCAUUAGCUAGUUGGUAAGGUAACGGCUUACCAAGGCAACGAUGCAUAGCCGACCUGAGAGGGUGAUCGGCCACACUGGAACUGAGACACGGUCCAGACUCCUACGGGAGGCAGCAGUAGGGAAUCUUCCGCAAUGGGCGAAAGCCUGACAGAGCAACGCCGCGUGAGUGAUGAAGGUCUUCGGAUCGUAAAACUCUGUUAUUAGGGAAGAACAUAUGUGUAAGUAACUGUGCACAUCUUGACGGUACCUAAUCAGAAAGCCACGGCUAACUACGUG
RNAcentral lists this ribosomal RNA (497 nucleotides) under uncultured bacterium. Its description in RNAcentral is "partial 16S ribosomal RNA". It matches the Rfam family "Bacterial small subunit ribosomal RNA", at positions 28 to 507 of the family's 1533-position model. The record is from RNAcentral.